UACGUAGGGGGCAAGCGUUGUCCGGAAUUACUGGGCGUAAAGAGCGUGUAGGCGGGCAUUUAAGUCAGGUGUGAAAGACCGGGGCUCAACUCCGGGAUUGCAUUUGAAACUGGAUAUCUUGAGGGCAGGAGAGGAAAGCGGAAUUCCUGGUGUAGCGGUGAAAUGCGUAGAUAUCAGGAGGAACACCGGUGGCGAAGGCGGCUUUCUGGACUGUCCCUGACGCUGAGACGCGAAAGCGUGGGGAGCAAACAGGAUUAGAUACCCUGGUAGUCCACGCUGUAAACGAUGGGCACUAGGUGUAGGAGGUAUCGACCCCCUCUGUGCCGCAGCUAACGCAAUAAGUGCCCCGCCUGGGGAGUACGGUCGCAAGGCUGAA
This 376-nucleotide ribosomal RNA is filed under the name uncultured bacterium. RNAcentral's name for it is "bacterial SSU rRNA". It matches the Rfam family "Bacterial small subunit ribosomal RNA", at positions 524 to 898 of the family's 1533-position model. The record is from RNAcentral.